AAGCAGUCAGCAGUGAGCAGGGGAGGAGGCCAGGCCCACUGGGGGUCGGCGCUGAGGAAGCCAGGAUUUUCCGAGGAGCCACACCAACUCCAGGAGCCACGCCAACUCCAGGAGCCACACCAACUCCAGGAGCCACGCCAACUCCAGGAGCCACGCCAACUCCAGGAGCCACACCGACACCAGGAGCCACGCCGACACCAGGAGCCACGCCGACACCAGGAGCCACGCCAACACCAGGAACUAACCCUGCAAGAUUGAGAAGAGCUGAUCACUAACCAAGGCCUGAUCAAAGAGGACAGAAGCUUAUGGAAAGAGGGCUGGAGCCUCGGCACUGGCAUAGAUUUGCUGUGUGACCCUGGAUCAGUUACUUUCCCUUGCUGGGCCUCAGCUUCCUCAUCCCUAAUAUGAAGUGCGUGCAGGCUCAGAAGCGAGUCUCCUGCCUUAGCCUCCUG
Molecule: non-coding RNA, 452 nt
Filed under: Pongo abelii (Sumatran orangutan)
Lineage: Eukaryota; Metazoa; Chordata; Mammalia; Primates; Hominidae
Source: RNAcentral